UAGGGAAUCUUCGGCAAUGGGGGGAACCCUGACCGAGCAACGCCGCGUGAGUGAAGAAGGUUUUCGGAUCGUAAAGCUCUGUUGUUAAGGAAGAACGAGUGUGAGAAUGGAAAGUUCAUGCUGUGACGGUACUUAACCAGAAAGGGACGGCUAACUACGUGCCAGCAGCCGCGGUAAUACGUAGGGCGCAAGCGUUAUCCGGAAUUAUUGGGCGUAAAGAGCUUGUAGGCGGUUCGUCGCGUCUGGUGUGAAAGCCCAUCGCUUAACGGUGGGUUUGCGCCGGGUACGGGCGGGCUAGAGUGCAGUAGGGGAGACUGGAAUUCCCGGUGUAACGGUGGAAUGUGUAGAUAUCGGGAAGAACACCAAUGGCGAAGGCAGGUCUCUGGGCUGUUACUGACGCUGAGAAGCGAAAGCGUGGGGAGCGAACAGG
RNAcentral lists this ribosomal RNA (430 nucleotides) under Bacteroidota bacterium. RNAcentral's name for it is "Bacteroidetes bacterium partial 16S ribosomal RNA". It matches the Rfam family "Bacterial small subunit ribosomal RNA", at positions 355 to 776 of the family's 1533-position model. RNAcentral also lists the same sequence under 1 other name. Lineage: Bacteria; Pseudomonadati; Bacteroidota. The record is from RNAcentral.